RNAcentral lists this ribosomal RNA (327 nucleotides) under uncultured eukaryote. RNAcentral's name for it is "partial 18S ribosomal RNA". It matches the Rfam family "Eukaryotic small subunit ribosomal RNA", at positions 1470 to 1796 of the family's 1831-position model. The record is from RNAcentral.
CCCUUAGAUGUUCUGGGCCGCACGCGCGCUACACUGACGAAUGCAACGAGCUUAUAACCUUGGCCGAAAGGUCUGGGUAAUCUCCAAAUUUCGUCGUGAUGGGGAUAGAUUAUUGCAAUUAUUAAUCUUCAACGAGGAAUGCCUAGUAAGCGCAAGUCAUCAGCUUGCGUUGAUUACGUCCCUGCCCUUUGUACACACCGCCCGUCGCUCCUACCGAUUGAAUGGUCCGGUGAAGCGUUCGGACCGUUGCCUUUGGACGGUUCGCCGUCUGUUGGCUGCGGGAAGUUCGUUAAACCUUAUCAUUUAGAGGAAGGAGAAGUCGUANCA